AGGCAACUAACGCACAUCGUCAGCAUCCUGCUUACUUAUUCAUACAGGCAGGGUCAGGAUCCGGGCUGCUGCCGAUCCGCUCCCCCGAUAGUCCUACAGCAACACGCGCGUUCACCGGCCGCCCCUAUCUCCGGAGAGCUCUCUCUAGAUAAGCGGUGCGCGGCAUUUAGACAACAAAAGAAGCCAGAUCAAAUCAAACAACGCGCGGCUCGGCUCCCGGCAGCCAAAAAGCCCGAGGACAGAGAGAAGGGGUGAUGGAGGAGGAGGAGAGGGAUCAGCUGCGAUGGAGGGGACGGGGAAGCAGCGCGGUGCUGGUGUGCUGCUCCCCGUGCCGGCGGCUUCGCAGCGUGAGCCCCAUGGGCGGGCGGGGGGUGAGGGAGCGGGGGGGAGGGGGAGAGAGAAAAGUUUAAGCGCCCAUAGUUUGCUUAAAACAGAGAAAGGCGAUUUAAAGGUCCAUCGCUCUGCAGAAGUUCGGCCAAGCAGCUGGGAACCGGCUCCAAAAUGAAAGUAAAAACAAACAAACAAACAGAAGGAAAAAAAAAAUCGAGGCAAAAAAUAAAAAAAGUUAAUCUGAGAUCUCUCAGCCGGACUUUCCUGUCCUCACGUGGAUCGCCGGGAAAGCGGUGGAGGUUUCUCUCCCCAGCGAAGUUUCCGCGCCGCUCCGCACCGUCCCGCUGAGCGCCCCGAGCCGCGCGGGGCCGGCGCCGCUUUAAAGCCCGAGGAGGGAUCAGCGCGCAAAGCUGCCUUCAGCCGAUCAACCUGGGGAGGGAGGGAGCGAGGGGGAGGGCGGAGGGUGGAGAUACACUGCUGCUGCUGGAAUAAAAUAAGAUCGAGCGAAAAAAAAAAAAAGUGUGUGUAUAUAUAGGUAGCUAAAGAGCUCCCUGCCUCCUCCCCUCCCCCGAGGCGGGCAGCUCCGGUCCUGCAGAACUGUCUGAAACGGUUUCAGACCAAGGCCCAUGCACUUCACUGCAACAACAGAAACACCCUCAGUCCAACAAGCAUCCUCAUUAGUCAGCACUGCUGCAGAAACACUGACUUUUCCAACUGCUCUGCAGCCAGAGAAGAAGUGUACAACAUGUGAUCCAUGCCCAUCUCCCAGCAAGCUCACAACUCUGAUAAUCCAUCUGACAACACAGUCAAUCAAAAAUCCAUCCUACAGCCGUUUCCAAAGAAACGAACACGUGGACAGAAGGCCAGAAUGCUGAGCUGGAAGGCAACCAACCGAAGGAACACAACAGCAACAACAAGGACUCUGAGCAUCUUCUCUAUUCCUUUAGGUUUCCUGGUUAGGAGAAUAUCACAGGGACACAGAUAAUGGUAAAUGAAGUUGUGUGACGAGUGGCAGAGAUAUUUUAUUUUGUAUCCUGGAAGCUGGAGGCUUUUCUGCUCUUCCCACACAAACAAAGAGAUUUUUUUAAAAAGGACAAGAAAAACACACACACAAUCACAGACCUAAAAAAAAAAAAAUCCACAUCUGAAACACGGUUGCUCACACCUCCUCCUCAUUCUUUGGCUAUCUGUCUCCUGUUUAGGCCUUGAUCCCGUAGACAGUCUGAGGUGGGUGGACACAAUAGGCUUAUUCACAAGCAUCGAGCUCAGCACAUGCUGACGGCUGUGAAGGCUGGAGACCAUUUCUGCUCUGCUCCUGGGGCCUGCAGCACUGCUCCAGAGGCCAGCACAGAGAAGCUCAGAGGGAGCUCGUUACUUUCCUGCUUUUAUCUGCUGAUAAGCCUAUUGCUUUUCCCAACGGUGCCUGUAACACUUCUGAAACAGCCAAAGCUAUGUUGAAGGAGUCCCCGAUUCUCCAAAUUAUUCAUUAGGGAAGAUAUAUACCGAAGAAAUAAUAUUAACCAAAACCAAACUUUUGAGGUUAAAAAACAAGCAGUCAUUAUCUUAGCAGCAAGAAUCUCACCUGUGAAAUCUAUUUUCUCCAUUCUCUCUCAUAUCUACUUACAUAUUAUGAAAUAGUUUUUCAUUCUAUAUCCAUAUACAACUUUUUUUCUACAGAUCCCUCUGCUGAAUUAACAAGAAGCCCUUCAGUGUUAUGUUUUCUGUUUGUGUUUUUUUUUUUUUUCCUGAAAGCACAGCCAACGCUUUGUUCACCACACAGUUUUUCAGAUCCUACUCUGCAUGUAGAGUUAUUAAGUCUCCUCACCAUUGCAUUUCAGUGACAGAGGAGGGACAGAGAACUUUGGGUUUAAUCCCAAGAUCUGUGAGAGGGCACUUUUUAAUAGCACACUCCCAUCUGCUUGUUCCCUGAGUCCCUGUUUUGUUUUAUCUUUGUUUGUUAUUUCUAACCUGUAUUCAUUCUCUCCUCAUUCUUGGCUCUUCAACUCAGCGUUGUUUUUCUUAUCUUGCUAUUGCUAGUGUCUGAUUCUCAUCACUGUUCCAACUGUCCUAGUUGCACUCUUCUUUAAUCUUAUUCUGGGACUCCUCACUCUCUGAGAUGCACAUUCAACUGUGCAAUUUCUUGUUUGUUUCUUUUCACUCUCGUUCUCUAGCUGAUCCUUUUCUUAUGAAUUCUC
Molecule: long non-coding RNA, 2525 nt
Filed under: Pavo cristatus (Indian peafowl)
Lineage: Eukaryota; Metazoa; Chordata; Aves; Galliformes; Phasianidae
Description: lncRNA (ENSPSTG00000010461.1)
Source: RNAcentral